Molecule: ribosomal RNA, 327 nt
Filed under: Allapsidae sp.
Lineage: Eukaryota; Cercozoa; Glissomonadida; Viridiraptoridae
Description: SSU rRNA
Rfam family: Eukaryotic small subunit ribosomal RNA (bases 105-327)
Source: RNAcentral
GAUUUCUGGCACGAUUUGCCUGGCCCGCCACGGUUUCGUGUGUGAGUGCCGGGUCGGAUCUGCCAUCCUUCCAGAAAACGGUCCUACCCUUCACUGGGCCGGGGCCGCAAUCUGGAUCGUUUACUUUGAAAAAAUUAGAGUGUUUCAAGCAGGCAUGUUUUGCUAUGAAUACAUUAGCAUGGAAUAAUAAUCUAGGACUUUCGGUUCUAUUUUGUUGGUGUUCUGGAGCUGAAGUAAUGAUUGAUAGGGAUAGUUGGGGGUGCUAGUAUUCAAUGGCCAGAGGUGAAAUUCUCGGAUUCCUUGAAGACUAACUUAUGCGAAAGCAUU